GUGCUCACUUUGGCAGGACAUAUACUAAAAUUGGAAUGAUCAGAGAAGAUUAGCAUGGCCCCUGCCCAAGGAUGACACGCAGAUUUGUGAAGUGUUCCAUAUUAAA
Molecule: small nuclear RNA, 106 nt
Filed under: Jaculus jaculus (lesser Egyptian jerboa)
Lineage: Eukaryota; Metazoa; Chordata; Mammalia; Rodentia; Dipodidae
Source: RNAcentral